Molecule: ribosomal RNA, 253 nt
Filed under: uncultured bacterium
Lineage: Bacteria
Description: partial 16S ribosomal RNA
Rfam family: Bacterial small subunit ribosomal RNA
Source: RNAcentral
UACGUAGGGGGCAAGCGUUGUCCGGAUUUAUUGGGCGUAAAGAGCGUGUAGGCGGCCAGACAGGUCCGGUGUGAAAACUCGAGGCUCAACCUCGAGAUGUCGAUGGAAACCGUCUGGCUAGAGUCCGGAAGAGGAGUGUGGAAUUCCUGGUGUAGCGGUGAAAUGCGCAGAUAUCAGGAAGAACACCUAUGGCGAAGGCAGCACUCUGGGACGGUACUGACGCUGAGACGCGAAAGCGUGGGGAGCGAACAGG